UCUAAGUUUACCCUUAGAACAGUUUUUCUGGGCUAUGCUUCUUCAAGAAAAGAAUGAAAGAGUGGUUUCUAGAUUGAAAGAGUCCACUGAGAGCAAACUACAAGGAAAAAGAAAGGAAAGCAAGAUUCUGUUACCUGUAUGGUCAGAAUCAGAGAACUACAAUCACUAGAAUCCUCCCACCCAGCCUGUAAGAAUGGAAACCGUCUCUACAACAUUUUAGCCAAUCUGCAUAUCUUCAACUCCACUGAUAUCACCAUAUUUGAUAGCCCUUGUUUAACAUCUGUUGUAGUAACAGCAAAGUACUUCAUUGUUCAUGGUAAUGAAGACCACUGAAGGAUCUACAAUAGCUGCCUCUAGAGUAUAACCUUUUUGAUAUAAUGCUGAGUUCACUGUAGGUUAUUUGGUAGAUUGUCACAAAAAUAACCACCAAGGAACCACAGCUCCCUGAGUCCAUACCCAUCUGCAAAGGGACCUUGCUGCUCCUUCCAUAAAUAGGUGAGGUCUAUUUCCCUACCUUUUGAAUCUGGGCUGGCCUUGGGGCUUGAUUUAACCACAAUACUAUAGCAGAAGGAAUACUGUAUGACUUCCAAAUCUAAGCCCUUUAUGAGGCCUUGCAGCUUCCACUUUUGCCCUCCUGGAAAGCUACCCUGAGUUUGAAUGUGAAGCAGCUCAGUCUAUUCUCCUUGAUGAAAGACCACAUGGAACAAAAGGCCCAGCAGUCCCAGUCUUCCUAAUAGACCUACUAAAUACAUAUAAGCAAGCUCAGGUGAGACAGAACUACCACCCAACUAAUGAAAAGAAUCAUAAAAAUUAAACAGUUGCUCUUUCAAGUCAACUACUCACAUGCGAAAGGAGCCAGGAAGGAAUAAUCAAAAAGCAAUCUGAAUCAAUCCCUUUUAGGGAACACCCAUUGACACCACAGGGUAUUCCCUAGAACCACCACACAAUAAAGAGAAACCUGGAACUGCAGUGUACAAGUCAUUCAUAGAAUACCUUCAAGAAUAUUGGUAUUUGACUUACAAGUAUUCAGAACAUCACAUCGCAGAGAGGGGAGCUGUCAUUUAAAUUCUCAUUUCUUCCUUGGCUCUCAUUGUUACUACCUCAUUUUCAAAACAGAAAGAUUACCUGGAAUAAUUUUUUAAUUAUCUGCAAUCACUGGUUAUGAAAUGAGUAACCCACAAUUCCAACUAUGCAACUUUACAGUCAAACAAUUUCAGAAAUGAGGAAAUAAAGUGGUAGUAAAGAACUUACUUUCAUUCUCUUUUCUCCCUAAAUUACUACGGUAAUGAGAGACCUAAUAUUUCAUAAGCUCAAAAGAAAAAGAGAUGUUAGGUCAGGCACGGUGGCUCAUGCCUGUAAUCCUAGCACUUUGGGAGGCUGAGGCGGACGGACCACCUGAGGUC
Molecule: long non-coding RNA, 1403 nt
Filed under: Homo sapiens (human)
Lineage: Eukaryota; Metazoa; Chordata; Mammalia; Primates; Hominidae
Description: HSALNT0237293
Source: RNAcentral